CGUUGGGCUUGGUGCACGCGCCCAAGAGGUUGACCACGUUGAGGUGGUUACCGAUGUGGAUUAGGAUCUUGAGCUCCGACAUCAGGGCGCGGUGCUCGCUGGCUGUGGCGCCCUCUGGAGGGGACACGGGGGCUUCGCGCGGUGCCGGGCCCGCCGCCCCCACCCCUGCCGCCGGCCCAGACGAGGCGCAGCUAGGGCGCCUGCCGCGGCGGGCCAGGGUCCCCGGCUUGACCCGCUCGCCUCCUGAGGCCGCAGUUCCAGGCCGGAUUGGGAAGGACUGCUCAGAUCUGAGUCUAACGCCUCCGUGAAAAGCCCGGGGUAGACUCUGGCUCUGUGCCUCGGUUUCCCCUCCUGAACCACGGCCCCACCAGCCCACUCAGAGUCGCUGACCCCGCACCUUUCAGCAUUUUCACAGCCACGGUGUCACAGCUGCUGCCCUUGUGAAUUCCAAAAGCCGAGGCUUCCACCACCUUCCCGAAGGCUCCAUGGCCUAGGACUCUCCCUGUGGGAGCGGGGAGCCGGGUCCAGGCUGUGAAUGGCCUAGAGAGACCCCACAGGAGCAGUGAAGAGGCUCAGUUGGGGGAGGAGCACUCACCCUCCUCAUGUUACAGAAGAUGAGGAGAAGGAGGACCCAGAAGAAGACAGCGAUGACCCCAGUGCCGACAAGGAUCACGAUCUCCAUGCUGCCUUUAUCCUCGGAGCCUGUGCGGGCAGAAAAGGGGCCAGUCUGCGUACGCUGCACAGAUAGCGGCCCGCGUCCUCCUCACGCACGCGCUGUAUGCUGAGCUUCUGGUUCGAGUCUGCCAGGUCGAUUCCUGUAGGGGACGGUGUGUGGCUUCGAGUUCAAGUAGGUCUAGGGCCUUGACCUGGUAAGCGUCUGCACCCCGCCCUUCGCCCCGGGGUCCACCACUCUACCGGACUCUUCCUCCAGCAGCCUCUCGUCUUUGUACCACAAGAUACUGGGCACGUGUGCCCCGGCCACCGGGCACCUCAUCUCCAGGGAGUCGCUCACGUUCACCAGGAGGUACUUCUUGUGGCAGUGCUUGUCGUGGCUGCGACGGUCCUGCACCUCGCAUACGUAGUCGCCUUCGUGCUCAGGUGCCACGCUGGGGAUGGUCAGGCUGAGCGUGGUGUGGCGCGCCCCUGGCGCCACCUCCUCCAGGCGGGCUGCCAGCGGCGUAGCGAAGAGGUGCACGUUUUUGCAGUCGAGCAGCAGCGGGUUCCCAUGAGCAUCGUGCAGCGUGGACAAGUUGAGGCGGUACCAACGCAGAUGCUCGUAGGUGUAGUUGUCUGCCCGGCAGCUCAGGCGCACCUCUUGGCCCUCUAGGGGCUCCUCCGAUGGUUCGGAUUCUAUGCUGAAGCCAUCGGGGAUGUCUGCGGAGCGAGGAGGAGCCUCUGUGACGGGCACCCGGAGCUGGCUCACCCACCUGCCCACGCUGGUGCUUGCUCUCGCUUUUCCAACUGCUUUUGAACUCACUCUGCCCUCAGCCAAGACUUGUACCACCUAAGUCUGGACUGGGGACUUUCUGGGUACUCUUUUCCCCAGCACUGACCAACGGGGCCCUCCCUGAAGUCAGCCCCACUGACUUCUCCUGCCUCACCUUCUUCUAGCUCUCUACCGUCUGAGCCCCAACCUGGCUGCUGCCCCUACACUCCCGGGAGCCCAGGUCAUCCGUGUGGUUCUUGUCAGCACACUUGGUGCGGUCCCGUUGCAUCCUGCCUUGCUGCUGACCACGCUCCACCACUGGCCUCUCCUUGAAAUUAUCUUGUUGUUUCAUUAGCUUGUGGCAAUGCCUCGCUCCUGAUUCCUUUUGUCUGUCUGGCCACACUCCUUGUCAGGCUUGUGUGGGCUCCUCUCCCCUCCUCCCUCCUGCAGGGUUCUCUCUGGCCCCAUGUCCCUUCCAGGUGCCUCAUUUACACUCCUGGGCCCAGCAACUGUCCCUUUAAUGGGCUUCUUAGCUUUCCUGGGGUCACUAACACAUUUGAAAAUUGGACGAAACUAUGGACCUUUCCCCCGGGAAGUGUACCUGUGAGCCAGCUGCUCUGUUGGAAGGGGACUGGGAGGGAGGUGGAGCCAUAGGGAGAGGAAGGGCACCGGUGGGGAGGCACCUCCAAGGCUGGAGGCAGAGAGUGCCACUCCAUGCUGGAGGAUCAGCACCCCAGUCCAUAGGCUCAUGACCUCCAAAUCUAUCCUGCCUGCUCAGACCCAGGGGCCCAGUGGGCCCUAAGUAUCUCUCCUGGACACCCCACUUCAUCAGAAACUCAAUGGGCCCGACCUGGCCUCACUGUCCUCUCUCAGGCCUUCUCGCCUUCCUCUUGUUCCUGACCUCCACCCAGACCUGCCCAGGUCACUCACUGGUCACGUAGAAGUAGAUGAGCCGCUCGUCCUGGCCCACUUUGUUGAAGACCACACACUUGUACAUGGCAGACACGUUGGCAUCCUGGAUCACCAGCUUGCUCACCGUCUAAGCAGAGCACAAGCACACGGAUCCAUGUCCUGCCCAAGUUCCUCCCAGCUUGACCGUCCUCCCUACCUGCAGGGAGGCUGCCAUGGUCAGCUGAGUAUCAGGGAUGCUAGAGGCCCAGAGCUGAGAAGGACCAAAGCUCAGAGGCAGGACCCGGAAGGGUGAGGUGGGGAGUGGAAGGUGAAGCCCUUGCACAGCAGAGGUGGCUCUCUGGGAAAGUCCAGGGCAUAGCUAUGAACAGCUGGCAUCGGCUGUGGCUGAGGUCCGAGGACAAUGUUAGGCUGAGCAAGAGGGACCUCUGGGCAUGGAUGGGCUGGGGCUCUGGCCAUGUUGAGCAAGGGCACAGACCCAGCAAGCACUGGGCUAUGAUUUGGAGGGCAGGGCAAGGCUGGUCACUGUGUAAGAUCCUUGUGAUGUGCCACGUGUCCUGGGGCUGCUCACACCACCUCUCUCAGGGCCCUGCAUGGUGGCCAGCGAAGGGAAUGAGAAUGGGUCCCAGAUCUCCAGAAGGCCUCUGGCCUGGGCAGUAAGAAGCUUGGAGGCAGGGGGAGGAGAGAAGGCCUUAGGCCCUGCCUACCAUCCAAACAACCUCUCCCCCAACCCCCCUUCCAAGCUGGGCACUUCCUGGCCAGGCCUGGAACAGGAAGAGGCUCUGGAGGUGUGCAGGAAAACAGGAAGUGACUGUAGGAAGUGGGUGCCUUUGUUUGUCCCCUCCCCCGCCUGGCCCCUUCUAGGCACUGCCUCCAGGCUGGGCCAGCAGCUUGGUUGCCUUCAGAGGGGACCUAGCUGGCCGUGGGCCUGACCUUCCUAGCCCUAGGGCCUGUGGGUGGCUGGGGCCCAGGACCUGGCCAGGCCACCUUCCAUCAAAGCUUCCCUGUCUGGAAAGCAGCUAGAGGUCCCUCCCCUCCAAUGCACAUAUAGGAAGGGUAGCUGAGGCCCAGAAACACUGCAGAAAGACCACCAACUCUCAGAACUCUGCAGGCCUGGUAGAGAUGGAAGCCAGGAGAUGGCCCUCCCCACCUCCCUUCUCCUUCCCUGUCAGUGGCAUGGCUGGCGUGUACCUUAUUCUUCCCCUCCACAAACUCGGUCCAGGUGUCCAGGCUCUCGAUGGGGUUCACGGCAUCCUGGGUGGUCACCUCUCGCCAGUCCUGGCACUGUGGCAUGUGGUCUCUCUGCUGCCGCCGGCUGCUUAGGCAAAGGGUUGCUGCCCUCAGAGUAGCACAUACCUGUGGCCCUGUGGUUCAUCUCUAGCCUGCUCUACCCACCAUCCCCUACUUGAGAUGUGCCUCUUCCUGCAAAGUCCACCUGGAUCUCCCAGGGGUAGCAAAGUCACCACUUCUGUUCCAGGAAGCCAUCUCUCUCCUUCCAGAGCUGCAGCCCCUUCCUGGGCUGGAUGUGACCCCAGUACCUUUGGUCUUUUGUUGGAAUAUGGGUCUGGGACCCCAGGGGAGGCUUUUAUCUGCCCCCAGCAAGACCCCAACCCCAGGGUUCUUUUUUUUUUUUAAAUAAAAGAUUUUAUUCAUGAGACA
Canis lupus familiaris (dog) is the source of this 3994-nucleotide long non-coding RNA. RefSeq lists it as uncharacterized. NCBI's taxonomy places the organism in Eukaryota, Metazoa, Chordata, Mammalia, Carnivora, Canidae. The transcript has 5 exons. The record is from RefSeq and is a predicted model, not a curated record.